GGAAUGUCCCUUCCUGAUGAAUCCAAUAGAAAAUGGAUGUGCACAGGUAAAUGCCACAUACCAGAAACCAGUGAACAAUCCCUAUGCACCCACAUAUAACCCAGGUUGGAGAAAUCAUCCAAACUUUUCUUGAUCACAAAACCCAAAUGUAGGUGGUCCUAGCUACAGCCAGCAAAAUCCAAGGCCUAACCCUAUGAUA
RNAcentral lists this long non-coding RNA (199 nucleotides) under Elaeis guineensis (African oil palm). RNAcentral's name for it is "long non-coding RNA (EGUI_LNC050956)". Lineage: Eukaryota; Viridiplantae; Streptophyta; Magnoliopsida; Arecales; Arecaceae. The record is from RNAcentral.